RNAcentral lists this unclassified non-coding RNA (16519 nucleotides) under Pectinophora gossypiella (pink bollworm). Its description in RNAcentral is "tyrosine-protein phosphatase non-receptor type 61F- like". The record is from RNAcentral. Lineage: Eukaryota; Metazoa; Arthropoda; Insecta; Lepidoptera; Gelechiidae.
CACUCAACACGAGAAGGCCGCUGCUCGUAUCAUACGUUUAUCAUCAUUUACAUUGUUGAAACGACGUGUAUUUGUGACAAAAGUAUUUGGAUCCCGUCGUUCAAGACUAUCCUCAAGUAGAACACGGGUACUAGAUCUAAACACGGUACUUUCGUCCGUAAAACCCGCGCCUUGUAGCGGCAUCCGGCUACUAACAAACUUUCUGGCUGGAGAUGAGCUAUGAACAAUAAUAAGAUGACUUCAAAAAGCGUCGAAGCUGAGUAUUUGGACAUCGCCAACAAGAACGCUUGGCCUCUGGUGUAUCAGAAACUUGGACGAGAAUGCCAGGCAUAUCCAUACACAUUUACCGAAGCAAAGAAGCCACAGAACAAGCCGUUGAACCGCUAUCGAGAUGUGAACCCGUAUGACCAUAGCCGUAUCAUCCUGAAGCGUUGUGAAAGAGAUUACAUCAACGCCAACCUCGUUAGGAUGGAUCGUGCGAACCGGAAGUACAUCCUGACUCAGGGCCCGCUGGCGUUCACCGUCGGCCACUUCUGGCUGAUGGUAUGGGAACAAGACAGUCGCGCCAUCCUAAUGCUAAAUAAGGUGAUUGAGAAGAAUGAGAUCAAAUGUCAUUGGUACUGGCCGCACGGGAUCGGCGAGGCCCACAAGCUGGUGUUGAGCGACGUAAAACUAACAGUGGAGCAGAUCAAUGAGGAAGACUGCAAUUAUUACACCACCAGGCUGUUCAAGAUUCACGACAUGGAGACAGAAGAAUCGCGCGAAGUGAUCCAGUUCCACUACACCACGUGGCCCGACUUCGGGGUGCCGUCGUCUCCGGUGGCGUUCCUGGAGUUUCUAAAGCGGGUGCGCUUGUCUGGAGCCCUGGACGCGAAUGUGGGGCCGGCGGUGGUGCAUUGCAGCGCCGGUAUCGGCCGCUCCGGCACCUUCUGUCUGGUCGACUCUUGCCUCGUCAUCAUCGAAAAUGAGGGUGUGAAUAGCGUGAACAUCCAGGAGGUUCUACUGCAGAUGCGGCGCGACCGCAUGGGGCUCAUCCAGACCCCCGACCAGCUGCGCUUCUCCUACCAGGCCGUCAUCGAAGGCGCCAAACGCCUGGACCCCGAAUGGAAGGAGGACUCGAAGUUGGAAGAGAGCAUAUACGCGACGGUAGCGGAGUGCGAGGCUAGCGAAGAGGCGCCGCCUCCACCGCCGCCGCGUGGCGAGAGCCUAUCACGCCCGCCAGCGCGCCCCCUGCCCGCCAUACCGGCUAGCGCUUCACUUGGCAACCUGAACUACUCAGCUACAGCGGAGUCAUCAAGCUCGGACGAGGGCGGCCCUCCCUCGCCCCCCGCGCGCGAGUCCCCCUCCCCCACCUUCUCCGCGUCCUCAGCUGACGACGAGGACGACGAACCCACCUCCGCGCCCACUGAAAGCGGCGAGACAUCGGAGACUGCGCUGCGCCGGCGGCGAACGCGCGAGUUGUCUGAACGCGUGUCGGCCAUGAAGCGCCGCGCGCGCCGCGUCGAGCGGUGGCACGCCCUCAAGAGGUCUCUGUACAAACCCCUCACAAUCACCAUCGGCGUGUUCCUCGCCUCGAUCCUCAUCUACUCAUACGUCAAACAUUAAACACAAUACUACUGCGAACUGCGGACGAACUACACACUUUAGAAAAAUAUAUAAGUAACGAAAAAGAUCGAUAAAUUCGAUAUUCGAACCCGUGGCUUAAUUCAAACCCAUGACUCAUGUCAAGCUGGCACGAGUGUUACCAACAACAUCGGGAUUCUUUUUUUAUAUUUUUGGGUUGCUCUAGACAAGUGCUAUAUAAACAUUAAUAAAUUAAUAAACGCGCAAGGAUUGGGAUCGUUUCAGGAGGUGACAAAAUUUUCCUUUCAGUACAAAAUGUUUCAUACUGGGCUGACAGCUACUACCAUUUGAAUUUAAGAUACUCACGAGUGCGAAAGAGAGGAUAUCAUUAGAUACAUAAUCCAGGGUAUCUUAAAGAAACGAGACAACAGUAUUUACCGUGUUUUUCGAGAAUAUUCUGCAUUUAAACCACUAAAAUAUAAUUACUUGUAUGAUAAAUUCACAAUGUAUUUAUUCAUUAAUUGGCGAAAUGGCUGCCUCUACACUUACUGAUAAGUGUCUGAUAGCCUGCCUGAAGCUUAUUAUGCAGGUAGGAGCUAUUAACACACACUUGUCCGGCAGAUAAGCUAUCGGACAGUUUAUCAGCAAAUCCUGGGCAUUUGAUUGGGUCAAAAAUAGAAAAAUAAUAAAAUGCUAUUCUUGAAAUAGAAGCCUGUCUAAGUUGGUCAAAAAUCAAUCUCAUUUUUCUUUUUUACUUAUUUUCGAAUUUUUAUUAUGAAGUAAGUAAGAAUGAGGGCGUUGUUUGACCAUUUCUAUUGAUGACGUUACUGUAGCAUUUCUACACAAUUUCCCCAAUUUCCAAUAGAAAAUUUUCAACAAUCUACUAUGAUAUUGCACCAGAGGUAAUUAGGAUAUAACCCAAAAUAUGUUACGUGCUAUGUUUGCCCCUAGAGUUAUCAUUAGGGGCAAACAUAGCUGCGACUGGUAGACUUAGGGGUAUCGUUACAGCGUGCAGCGGUAGUUGUUUAAUCCCGUUAUUUCGAUAGUCGAAUCGUCCGGGAAUCUUAUGAAAAAUCAAAAAGUCUUACCCGAAGAGGUUUUAUAUUACGUCACUAAGUAUAGACUAGCGAAUUUCCAUUUAACGUAACGUUCUUGCGAAUGCUCGACGCUCUGCUCGAAAAAAUGCUCGCGGCGAAUUUACUUAUAACAUUCCUGUAUGUCGUCCUUAAGAUACUCCUUCACCGGGAGUAUUCCCCUAUAAUGUAAUAAUUAUGAUUUUGAUAAUUACGUUACAAUACUGCAUAGCUGAUUAUUAGCGGUUCCCCUCCCUCACCGGUGUAAUGCUCGGAUAUGUAACAUUAAGUUGCCGAUAGACUUGAGCAUUCACUUGUAACAGAACAUCAAGCAUUCGCCAUUUUUAUAUUUGUCGAACUGAACAAUGAGCCGAGCCAAGCAUAGAGCCAAACAUUGCUAUGAACGUUUUCAUGAGCAAGAACGCUCGAUAGAAUGCUCGCAAAAUUAUUCUCGUAUUGUAUCUUUCGCACAUACAAGAGGGAGCACCUUUAUAAAAAAAUAAUUUUGUAACAAUCGCAUUCUGUUUUGAAAAAUCACAUCAGAAUGCCCUAGGAUGUUGUAUGCCCGAUAUUCUGUUACAAGUAAACGAUAAUCUAUACUCACCUUUUUUCCCUCAUUCAGCGGUUAUCGCUAUCGGCCCACUAGGGUCGAUUAAUUCUGUCAAAUAUUCUUCCUCUCAGACGCCCUGAGACGAGGUUCGCACCCAACUAGGCACCCUCAGGCCUGUUGUCUUAAAUUUUGUAUCGGGUGAGAGACCUCAGCGCUCUUGAUUUGUCCGGCCAAGUAGUUAAUGCCAUCUGUGGCAAACUUACAAUAAAUCACGUUAAAAAAAUACCUUACAGGAAGCGGCUCCCAACUCUGUUACUAUCCCACCGCACUACUAGCUUCACCCGAAACACACAACCCAUAACAUUUUUGAAGGUGUAAAGUAACAUUAGACCUAAAUAUACUUUAAUUUAAUUACACAUAGGCCCCGAUUCCUGCACACACAACCUAAUUUUAUUUUAAGUUAUACCUGUCGUCCUCUUUUCCGCCGAAUAGGAAAGGGACGGAUGAUUGACAACUGUUAAUUUUAAAAUGAAUAAAUAACCCGGACGAAUAAAAUUGGCAUCUCGCUCAUAUGCAAUGUUUGACGUGUGCUGGCAACUUAAUUCUGUCGGGUUAUUGGCCAAUAUAAAAUUUUGGAAGGUUUUUUUUUAAAUUUCUGCUUUAAAUUGACGUCUGUUCCAUAAAUUUUAUGCCUGUCCCUUUCCCUUUCGGCAGAUAAGAAAAUGACAGAUGUAAACUAAAAUAAAGCUGACCUAACCUGCUGAUACUAACACCGCUCGCGUAUUCAAUGUAUGGUCACGAGUACUAAUAUGUAUGCACUUUGAAACCAUGUCACAUUAACUUUUUUGACAAAUUAAACCGUAAGUCUCAUUAAAUGUCAAAUACGAUAGUGCGACAGGGUUCUAAAGUGGGUACAUGAUAUUACUUAUGCCUGUAUAUGUACUAUAUUAUAAAUACUUGCUGCAUACAUAAGAUAUUAUAGUCUGAGCCAAUACUUUCGGGACUGUUGUACAAUUUUGCUACGACUCGUAGCUUUUAAAUGGACGAAUCGGUGUUAUAAAAGCAAGCUAUAAUAACGUACCUAAACGAAAGAGUAAUAAUUGUGUACCGGACUGGAAUGGGCAUGUGAGUGGCGCUAACGGGGAGGGUUAGGUUAGGUUAGGUUAUAUUUAUAAUAAAAUGAAUGAGUCUCGAAAAUUAUUCAAAUCAAAAUUAACAUUCUGUCAAAUUAAAAACACAAAAUGUCGAUCACUGAAGUACAUGACCUUCAACAAGUUUAUCCAUGAUAAUUAUAUCUUAUCACUUGUUUAUCAAGAACUGUACUUAAGUACGGUAUUGUCAAAUCCGAUUUGUCCAUUUGAAAGUAUGUCUCGAUAUAAUUGCGUCGACCCAUCUUCUAUGAGAUAAAACAACUAAAAAUCAAAUAUCAAAAGUAAUAUUAGUACUCAAUAUUCUAGAUAAAUGGCGCCGGCUUAAUGACAAUACAUAGAUUGGAUUUCGCAUGGACAGGAAUAGGAACCGGUGGCGUAAUGGUUAACAUGCUCGUCCCGGCUUGACAAGAGCUCCGGGUUCAAGACCCGUCCAAGUCAGAUUUUUUUUCGAUUUAAUGUUUUUUCUUUUCAACUAAAAGAAAUCUAAAAGUCUGUAGUUCGACCGCAGGAUGACGUAUAAGGCUCUGCAGCCUCCUUUUUAUAUAAGUAAAACAUAUUUUUCUAUGAAAUAUUGACAAAUUCGAGUGCCGCCCGAGAAACCGGCUCAACUGUAUGUUAUAGGGAAAAUGUUGAGAACAUCUCAUCAAUAUUUUGAUACGAGCUAAAGAUACUACACGUCGUUGUAUCAACGUGCGAAGAUACCAUAAUGUUUCCUAGUGCGAAUAAAUGAAUGUUAUACAUUUUCCUAACAUACUUUUGGAGCGUACGCAUAUUCUAAACUAGCCAAUAGAUUUUCUAACAGAUCACAUGUAGUGUUACAGUAUUCGACAGGACGGAUUGAGUUAUUCAAAUAUGCAAUCAAACUUUAUAAGCCGCACUCGGACUUAUGAAUUGAAAAGACAGCGAAUUUUGACUAGUUGUAAAUAUUUAGAUUACUCGGCAGAAUUACUUUAGCACUAUUGAGUCGCAGAGUGGUGUACCUACUGCGUCUAUUGAUAUCCCCGGCCUCAAUACGUUGAAAGUUGACGACUUGUAAAACGCUUCGUGAUCAGCGUUCGAUGAAUUUACAAUAAUUUAUUCCAUUUUUAUGAAUUUAAACUAAGUCCAAUUGCAAUUCUUGUAGAUUUUUGUAAUAAUGGUCAAUUCAUGUAUCUUUACACACGUACGUAAUUUGCGCCCGUAAAUGCUGUGGUGGUGGGUAGAGAAAAUGAAAGUAGUCUAUCGUAUCGCUGAGCAGAUAAUCCCUUAUUUAUUAUGCAUUAUAUUUUUACUCUUAAUUCCCGAAAUGAACUUUUAUAUUAUUUUUAUAAUAUUUAAAUCAAUGAAAACCUAGACACUCAAAUGUAGGUGACAGCACUGUUGAAUGUCCCUAAAUUUUGACACAUCCCAAUAUUUUCCAGCUAAAGUUCGUAAUAACAGUGUGUCCUGUCUGAAGGAUGAGUUACGAAAAGAAAAGCAACCAUCCGUCGGAAAAUGGCAAUUUUGAUUGAAAAGACGUUUUUCAUAGAUGUUUCAAAAUAGGCUUCAUCACAGUUGAGCCAUUUCCUUCUGCUCGUAUUAAUAAUAUGUUCAAGAUUAGUUCUUAAAGAAAAAACUAAACUGAAACUGAUAAAAAUAUUUUAUUCUUAUUCUUUCCCAUCUUUAGAGAAAAAAUGGGGUAUAAUAUACAAAUAUACCCAAAACAAUGUGUUUGUUUACUCCAAUAGUAUGGGGAACUGUGAAAAUUUAAGAACACUCUGCAGUGGCGCCACCUAACGGGAGAAAUGGGCAGUUUUUAUCCUGAUUAUAAUUUCCGUUAUUUUAUUAUUCGGGUCUGGUAUCCCUAAGGGUUUGUAAGACUUUCACAGGCCAUUGAUGGCAAGAUCUCACGUGGAAACCUUUUGGAGACUGAUGGAAAUUACUAUUUAUUUAUAUUACUUGAUAUAUUCGACGUUAAGUCAGCAAUGAUUGAAGUACGGACGCUACCAGUGGCGACAUCGUAGAAUGUUAUUUUAUCAAAAUGACUAUUUUUGCAAAACCUCCCGUACUUACAACUCCAAAUCAUUUAUUGUUCAUAAUGUGGGUAGGUCAAAGAUAAAUUAUGAAAUUCUGAUUACUAAAUAAAGACUGAUUUAAAACGUGACGAAAAACAUUUUCUUUUUCCGUUUAACUUAUUUAAGAAUUUUAAACAAGAUAAACGUAAUAAUGAGUCCGACUUAAAUCACGUUCUCUAUGAUGUCACAGUGUGCGUUUUCUUACAAAUUCCAUAGUAAUUUCGUGUUUUGACGUUUAGUAAAAAGUAACUGAUUUGUCUAGAUGGAAACUAGCCUGUUGUGGGUACAUAUUUUUUCAUAUCAAUGUUAUUAAGUUAUACCGUAGGAGUAGGUGUGUUGGUGUCCGUGCCACUGGGUGACUGGAGUGUCCGUCGCACAAAAAUAUUCUAUACUAUAGAGUUCUUACAGUGCGCCGCCAAACGCGUUAGUUUGAGCGAGACAGCCGAGCGCUCUUCCCCUUACUCAUUAACGUCUCACAACCAUUUAAGACUAAAGAAACACCCAGAGAGGGUGAAGUAAAUCUAUCUUAGAUUUGGGCCGGAGUGUUACCGUUCUAUACGUAGUAUUUCUCUUUAUUAUACGUAUGCCCGUACUAGGAAAACCGCUGCAGGCUUAAACAAGGUCCAUAACAUUUUUCUAUAUCCUAAUACCUUUAUGAUGCAAUAGGGCCAUUUUGCGAAUGGGAUCAGUAACAGACGCAGACUGCAGCGUUUGUGGCUUACUCUUCAGUGUUGUGACAUAAUACUAUAACUCGCGAACUCUAAUUUCCAAAUUUAGUAUGCAAUUAUAAGCUUAAACAAUAGUAAACUGUAUAGCGAUUUUUAAUUGUAAUUUAUGUUUAUGACACCAUCGCAAAAGUCUGAUAUUUGUAAGUAUUACGACUUAGCACUGUUAUUAGUACAUGUAAAUAAAGGUGUUGUCAGUUAUAAGUGCAGGUACGAAUAUUGAGCGCAGAUCUGUCUGUAAAAUCAAUGAACGGGCGCCAUUUUUAACGCAAUAAAUCGAUCGAUUUUAAAAAAUGUUACUCUUCAGGGUUUAGAUUUACAAUCGGAACCGUUAGAUGGCGCUGUGAUCGGGCAGAAAAUAUUCGCCCAGUCCGCUAGUAUUCAUUAUAAUUUACAAUAACUGAUUUUUUUAAAGUCCAAAGUUUAAAUAAACGUAUAUUUUACGACGUCUCAGAAACAUUUCUUUACAACAUUUACAUUAUCGCAAAAAAGGUACAAAGAAAAUAAAAUGCUUCAGAAAUAAAAGAAAAAGUAUGAAAAUACAUAUACGAGUGCAAAAUCACGCCCAUCAAUUCUUAAUGGGGUGGGGAAAGCGACAACUUUCUAACUUUAAGUUAUCUUCUUUUAUAGUUUCUUGGAAUUAUCAUGUUGGGAAGGUCGGUUAUCCUCAACCCACACGACAGAAAACUACUGUCAUUCAGCGCUCAAUAUUAGUUCCUAGAUAGCAUACCGAAUUGUUCAAUAACAUACAGGCACAGGCCUCCCGCCAAUCAACCGGGGGGAAUUGUUCAAUAACACCCUAUAAUUCGGUACACAUAUCUGCAGUAGCUUCAUAUUAAAAAGUAUUAGUAUAUUACGUAUUGGUAUUCACAAUAAGUGGCGCUGUCUGGGUAGGCUGAUAGGGGUUAAACCCUAUUAACAAUUUAAAUACAUAUAUACACAUAGAACCAUAAGUCAAUAUUAUGAGGGACGUUCCAGGCUACGUUCCUUAAGAACAAUAUAGAUGGCGCUGUACAGUUUUUCGUUCGUUUAACCUUCUAAUUUCAUGGAUAACAGACAUGUGCAUCUUUUGUCUUUGUUUUAUGGUAUAAAUGAUGACCGCUUUUAUUACACCCAGGCAUAAUUACAUGGAUCAAAAUACAUUUGCAAAAUCACAUUCUGAUUAUUUCUAAUGUGAAAUUCGCUUUGUUGGUAGCGCUGUUCAGAUUUAACGUAAUAAUUUCUCAUUGCUUGGGGUACAUGAUUAUUCAAAACUAUAAUGUAAUUGCAGAGGCAUAUAUAAAAGUUAUUGUUGCUUGAUAUUUGGAUCAGAUACGUAUACAAUCAUGUUGCUACCUAUAUCGCUUCACUUUAUUUGGCGUAAUAACAAAGGUCUAGAAGGUCUUAUACCCAAAAAUAAAGAUAAAAGUUGCUUAUGUCUGUUAUCCAUGAACGUUAAACGCAGGAAAAUCUUUACAGCGCUAUCUAUAUUUUGUUUGACGAACGUUGCCUGGAAAGCCCCUCAUUGGUCACUUUAUUCCGUGUUAUUGUAAAAUAUCCAAGUAGGUACAGUUCCGAGUUUCCCCUUAUCUUGCACAUAAUGCGUGCUGCAUUUUUAGUUUGUUGAUCUCUAAGCGGAUACCGAUAAAUUAUGUAUAAUUGUAUAUCAUGUCUAGACACUGCAUUUUUUUAUUCGCUGUGCUAGGUAAUACGUAUAAAAUAAUAACAAUUUCAGUAUUCAUUUUACAUUAGCACACUUUCGUUUUAUAACUAUGAACGUAUAAAUACACAUUUUCUAUCCCUUGCCAUUUUUUCAGUUGGCAACCGCAUUUUUUACUAAGUAUAUUUCAAUUAAAUAAGAAUUAUGAGCUUAUUCUCAUUGUAGGUGAAACUAAUUUAAUAAAUGUAUAAUUAGGCUGUAUAAAAAGGUGCAGGGUAUUGAGAAUAUUUUGUCCAAAAACAUUUCAAUAUUUUUUAAUUGGCUAAUGUAGUUUUUUAGGCAGGUAACAUUUUUACAUGUAAUAAGAACGAUAGAUAAAUCUUUUAUUCGUUUCCCUAGGCGUUUGGAAUAAAUUCUCAAUACUUUAGCAAUGUCUGUCUCUACUAGUCUACGAUGGCUGGCAGUGCCGCUGUAUUGUUUUAAACAAUGGAUUUUCCACAAUAUUUAUGUGGACAAAUGUGAGACGAGCGGUUGCCGUUUUGGUGUCAAGUGCCUUUAAAAGGAUUCAGAUAUAUUUAUAUUUUGCAUAUUUCACAAAUGUGCGCAUAGCUAUUGUGAGAAAACCAUUCGUUUUCGACGAUGCAGUCCCAGUGCCCGCUGCAGGGGACUAGUGAAGCACGACUGUAGUUUCGUUGUAGAUAGUAUGUUAGUCGAUAGAAAGUAUACGCGGGUCUAUACGGUGUUAGAAUGAACUAGCUCGUAAAGAACUAAAAUCUUUUGUCGGUCGAUAUUGAUGCGAUGAAUGCCAGUUAGAUAUGCUAUAAUCAGCGAUAUAUGAGUAUAGCAAUCAGCAAAAAUAACACGUUCUUUGUAAAUACGUAUUUUUAUACUUUUUAUAAUUGUGAAUAACUAUACCUACCUACAUACAAUAAAUGUAAUCUCAGCAAUAUAAUCAACAGUCUAAACAUUGAAUAAAGUUUAAUUAAACCUAACUAUAAUAAUUAUAAAAAUAUACAAUUUAAAAAAAGGUUGCUUAUCAUUAUAUAUAAUAAUAUUUCAAUUCUAAUUUGAAAAGUAGGCAUAUUAAAUAGCUCAAUUUGUUUGCAAUUUAUCUGACGUAUGUAUAUUUGUUUAAUAAUGUCUAAUUUUUUUAUUAAUAUGAUAGGUAUAGUGCACGUUAACAGUUAGGUUAUGUAAUAGUAUAAGUAUCAAGAUGCACUUUCCCGGCAUCGGAACUUUAGUAGUGUAAGGCGGGGUUGGAAUGUACUUGAACAGCGGUUUAUUAUUUCAGGUUUAAAUCGGAGGAAAAACCUCAAAGCGAACCAUGUGAAGACUGAGGAGAUUAGACGAAGUGUGUAUUGAGUAUACCAGCAACCAAAGGUCUCAAUUCUCCGAAAAUAAUCACAUUAUUAGGGCGACAUUUUGAUUGAGAUUUCGGAAUUCGGUUCUCGCAUAGGGAUAAUUUGCUUUGACGAUUCAUUUACAUUAAUAAUGCAAUUUGUAAUAUAACAUAUUAUGUAUAUUAUAACUUUAAUGAUAAUAAUAAUUUAUUUUUAAAAUUGACAAUGAUUUUAAUAAUGCUUUUGAGUUAGGUUUAUGAUAAUUUUGUGUAUCGCUGUAUUUUUUGACGUAACUCACUAUUGUGUACCGAAAAUGUACUUGUGUUGCUAUGGUAACUGACUGCUCCGGCUCCAGGGUUUACCUUCGGGCGAAACUCUGCUAUUUACACCUAAAGCUAUGUGAAGUGGACUUUGGUUUCCGACUCUUUCAACAACGUCAAGAGACAUCACAAUCUAAGUAAUGUAAUAACGGGAGGAUAUGUUUCAUAUAUAGCAUUUAAAUGGCAGAGCUAAGCAGCUAGGUGCAUCUAGAUGCUUUUACAGUCCCCGGGCCAUGCGCAAAUUACGUCAGUCACUUCCCCGGGCGAAACCUUGUUCUCCCGGGCGAUUACAGAAAAAAAAACAUUUCUUUUUGCAACUUGAGAGUAUUUGCUUUUCUCGGGGACAAUUAGAUUGUCAGACCUGUGCCCUUUAUCAAAACUUACAAGCCCUGUAUCACAAGAAAUUUUCUAGUAAAAAUUUUCAUUAUUACAAGAAUGCGUUUAUUAAAAGUACACAUGUAAAUUACACGUUACAAGUGUCAAUAUUUAUUUCACAAGUAUAUUUAACAACCCCUCUAUUUUUUGUUCGUUAAACGUAGUUUACUCGAACUUGUGAGUAACUUGUAGACUUGUAAGUUUUGAUAAACACGGCAUUGUCAGAAGGCCAGUCAGUUCCUGUACCCACACUGAUGUAUCAUGUACAUAGAUGAAGUAAGCAUCCAUACUUUAAGUUUUAGGCUAUGCGUUAAUUAUAAUGUCGCCAGUUGUUUGCCGCGAGACAUUUAUACGUACACCAUUAAUAUUUGUAAUCAGUGUUCAAUCAUCGCUCACUAAUCAUUAUAAUUAAUAUACUCGUAAUUCUUAAUGAUACGUGAUCAGAUCAUAUCUCUAGACUGUUAGCAAUAACCUGACAAUAACACCAGACGGUAACUACUUGUAAGAUAAGUUAUCCCGAGCAAAGAGUACAUUAGCAUAUUGUUUCUAAUUUACUAGAUUUAUGUCAAAUAUAAUGUAAACAAUGUUUGUAUAAAUACAAUAAGCUUCUCGCGACGAAAAGCCGGCGACUCUAGGUAAAUAUAUUAAUGUAUUUCGUAAUUACCUUUAUUGGGGAAAUAAAGCUUAAGCCACACAUUCGCUAUAGACUGAUAGUGUAUCUUAGAUGUACAACAGACAGCAAACCGAAUGCCUUACAAUAGUAGCACCUACGGACAAAGGGUCGUGCGUUUAGUCAUUUGACCUCCUUAUCUGAAGCAGAAUAAAUAAAGAAUAUUAGGCUAUCUUCAUACGAGCUCAACACCUAAUUACACUUAUCUAAAUAACUUGCUCAGGUGAAGCGUGGGUACUCGCAAUGCAUGUACCUCCGUCUAGCCCUAAAUAUAGUCGUAAGUUUGUAUUAAAUUUCAUGUUUCGUCUGAAAAUACCACAUUGUCAUGUGACGUUGUAAGUCAACCAUACCCCUCCGCCGGUGUCGACGUUUUCCCUCCUUCAGCGCUUUCCAAUAUUAACGUCUCAGACUGUACCCUGAGCAGAGGGUCAUCUGUGAAUAUUGUUUUAAAUAUUCUAUCGGUUAUCUGCAUACAGCACUCCUCAUUUGCUUAUCGAAAAGUACUGCUCACGUAAAAAGUAGUUCGAAUGAAUCAUCGCACUCUAGUAUUUAGUCACAGCAAAGGGUGUAGCCGUCGACGAAGCUACCAAGCAUCCUUAGCUAGUAGUAGCCUGAGCCCUUACAUGGACGCGAACGUCACUAAUAAACUUGGUUUUUGGUAGAUAUGAGUACGGGGGACACGAGUGAAACCGCCGGUAGUCCGUAGGCCGGUAGCCUUUAUUAGAUAAAGGUCAUAGGUAUAUGCAUACCCUCUUAUUCCUAACAUCCCUCCACCAAAAUUCCCAUUACAGUUACAGUAUUGUUUGGUAUUAUUACAGUUUUGAAAGAUCUAUUGCAAGAAACCCAAUAGAGACUUCCACUUGACGUAUAAGUUAGUGUAGUGGUAGGAGGGCUUGGGUCGUGUUUUCAAGAUCUUAAAGAGCGGCCUUCCAAUCCCAAUUUAACAGCAGACUAAUACCCAGCGCUUGUAAAAGAUAACUUACUGUUCUUUAUUUACUGUGCCUAAUGGUAGGGUCCGCCCCGAUAGCGAUAUAUUAUAUAUAUGUAGACUUAGCAAUAUUAACACUUAAUAGCAUCCACAGCUACGCAACGACUAGAUAAAUAUAUCUAUUCAUUUAAAUACUAGAAAAUAAUAUCACAAAGAAUCAUAAUAUGUCUUAAGCUAUAAUAAUAUAGAAGAUAACUAUGUAACCUUCGAUCAUAUAUAUUUGUAUGUAACUAUGUACGUAACUAUAGAUAUAAGCAAUCAGUGCCAAGUUUUGAGCGAUUGAAAUUUUAAUUUAUUACUAAGAUUCUUUUUUUUUUAAAUGCGACUCUGUUACUAUUAGCACAAAGGUCAAGAUUCAAUUUUCGAUCCACAUACAUAACGUACAUAACCAAACCUUAAUGCUAAAAAAAUAAAUAUUCACUCCAUCAAUAAAGUUUCGUUUUCUUCAUUAUAGGCUAAAUGAUGAAGAAUUUAGGGCACUCUAUCAAGUUAUAAUCACUAGGUUUGAGUUAUCAAAAAAUAGAUUGAAUGCAGAAUUUUGUCAUACUAAUUUUAAUUUUUAUGUUUCCAAUAUUGGUUGGUAAAUAUAAGACCAUUCGUGAGUUGAAGAAGAAUAAUUAUUUUAAUGAUAAAAAAAUGAAAUGAACGACGCUCUCUCUUAACUUGUCACUCAAAUGUAUAUUCAUAUUUCUAGCUACGCCUUGGAGCCAAAUGUAGCCGAUUUUAAGCCAUUACAUCCAAUAGUGUUUGACCGGAUCAAAGAUAAAUUAUGAAAUGCUAAUCUAGAAAUACAAGCCAGUCUAAAAUGAUCAAAAAUCAAUAUCAUUUUACAUUUCGAAUUAUUUUCCAAUUUUAUUUAUGAAUUAAGUAACAAUGAGUACGACGUUUGAUUUGGUUGUCAAGUAGCCUAAUCCAGUAAGAUAUAAUAUUUUAAAACCCCUUGAAUUGGGUAGUUUUCUAGAUCAAAGAUAAAUUAUGAAAUUCUGAUUACUAAAUAAAGGCAGAUCUAAAGGUGUCAAAACAUUUAUUUUUUCUAUUUAACUUAUUUAUGAAUUUUAAUGAAGAAAUAAAACAGGUUUAUUGUGACGUCCCAGGUUGCUUUUCAUACAAAUUCCAUACGUUUUUUUGACGUUUAGUAAAAAGUUACUGAUUCCAUGAGUAGGAUUUAAAUCAGAGUUUCGAUUUAACCAACUAUCUCUAACUUCGAGAGGAAUCUGCUAGUAAUAAAUUAAUAAUAAAAAACUGUAUGUUAUCAAAUAUCACUUAGGUACAUCUUAUAAGACUAGCUAUAAUAAUAUGGUUGGCCGGCUAUGUAUGUGCUGCCGUCCUAUAUCGGAACAUGCCGGCCCGCGGCGAUAAACAAACCGAUUGAUUAGGCUUAAUUAAUCAUUUUAUAUCGUAUUUCAUGAUUCAGUAGUUAAAUAUAUCCUGUGUAUAAUACACAUGCACCUGCCCGGUUAGUAGACUUGGAAUCAUAGUUUAUGAACCUGGAAGACUAUUAUAGCUGGAUAGAACAGAGUGAAUUAGGGGUGUUAGUCUAUCUUCUUAUCGUGUGGGUUGUGAGGUGGAAUACCAUCCUCAUCAACCCUAGUGUCAGGGUUACUUGAGCCGCCACAGGCCCCUGACAUGGCUCAUGUAACGAUUACUCACAUCAGUAAAUAGUUACCGGGACCAACGGUUAAACGUGCCUUCCGAAGCACGGAUCAUCCUACUUUCGGAUAAUCAGGUGAUCAGCUUGUAAUGUCCUAACCAAACUAGGGAUCACAAAGUGAUUUUUUGAAGUAGUGGGGAUAGCAAGAGGUCGGAUACACAAUUCGUCAACAUAUAACUCUCGUUUUAAGACAAAACCAUGAUUGUGGAAUACAUUUGUAUUGUGAUCUUUCGAGCGGGUUUCAUUAUUGCAGUGUAGCUUCUGGCGGGAUUCAGGAAUUCGCAGACAUAUACGUAAACAUUCUUUUCCCUUUUCGACGUGUCUUUGGGUGAGGAUUUUGUCUUUUACCUGACAGAGACAUUUUGACAUAGUAUGUAGUCUAGAAUCGUUCUUAACAAUCGGUUUAGUUACCACGCGUUUAGAUUAAACGUAGCAGGAGUAUUCUAUAUCGGUCAUAUUUUAGAUCUAAGAAUCUAUGUAUAACAAACUAAUGCUACGGAUAUGGUAAAAAGUAGGUCAUUCUAAACAACGUAGAUAGAAGUUCAAUUACAUGUAUAAUCGAUAUUCUUUGAAAUAUUUUUGUGUAUGUAUGGUGCUCGAAUCAGUCGCGGUAGGUAUCAGAUCUUAAAAGAAAAUGUUAAUUUGGUAACAGUUGUGGAUGUUAAUUUGUGUUAGAAUGUUUACUCCGUGUCGUCUCAGAUCAGUAUACCCAUAUAUGGUUUCUGAAUUCAUCCCGUAGAAUAUAGAACUACGUAAUGUUUCUAGUAACUAAUGCCGUACCAACAAAUCAACGUUGGCUAUUCCGUAAUAUGCGGAUUCUAAACCAAAUUAUACCAUACGAUUGACUUGUUACAUAAUGUAGGUCCACAUUCACAGUCUGAAUAACAUGGGCGAGAAGAUAUAAAUAAUCAAAGUAGAGGAAUACUCAGCUAAACUACAAUAAUCUACCACCUGACAAAACCAUGAAUUCUCUGCAAGUAAAUGUUUGUUUGAUCAACAAAAAUCUUUAUCCAUUUAUAAUUCGCACAUUGUUAAUGUAACAUGUUAUCAGUGUUUUAGGAUCUGUACAAUAUAUUUGUAGUUUCCUGCUUGUAUAUUAGUAUUUAGUAGACAAUAAUAAAUUAACUAUAAUAAUAAUAAACCAUUUAUUUCAGGCUACGGUACUAUAGGAAGCCAGUCCUGCGUUACCAUUUAGUUAUUGUUUCUUUAAAUAUGCGACUGAAUUGUAUCAACUUUUUCUUCGACACGCAACGUUUUGCAAUUACAUUUAUCCUAAUUUAAUUAUUAGAUUAUUCAACUUAUAAUAAUACUGUUUUCAAUGUCAUGAUCUUAGUAACAAUUUUAUGCAAGUAUACCAAUCUUCAGGUUGCCUCUGGGACUGGCAGUAGGUUAAAGUAAUGUACAUUCGAAAUCACGAUUAUGCUUCCAACAAGUAGUUAGCACGCGCCGGACAGGUACAGCAGCGUGGGAGGCAAACCGUAUAUGAAGUAAAGUUAAGCUAGUUAUGGGCGCGUUCAGCGAGUGUUUAGCUCGCAACGUACUCCGGCGCUAGUGCAAUUUUGUUUAAAUGUCCUGGUUCCCCAAUAAAGGUAUGAAUGUCAUGUCCACGUAGGAUGUGUACAUGUACAUGUGCGUAAAUUCUAGAAACAAUAUUACAACGGCAACAUGUAACGGAAAUGUCCUUGCAGUAUUACUUGUGACUUAUACUUUGUUCUAACACUUGAAGGUUGUUUCAAAUCUGUUUAUAUCUGUAUUUUUAUAAUAUUAAGAAAUGUAUUAGUAGAAACAAUAAGAAGGAAAUUACGUAAAAUCACCCCCGAAAAGCAGUGUAAAAGAUUUGAAACAAAUUAAUAAAAUAAUGUGAAAACGACAGCUAUAAUUGCCUAGAUUUUUAGUUUAUACACCACAAGCGUUCCGUUUGUUAUAUCUUAGUGAGUAUUUUUAGUUAUUGUAUUUCGUCCAGGGUGUAUACAGGUUACGAAGGGUGGGUGAACUAAUUGUGAUCAGGAGGAUGUUAGCGUAGUUCCUACAAGUGCGAGACGUAUUGGUUAUAACCUGUAUACCUCCUUGCGCCGUCCUGACUGCUAUUAAAGUGAGCGGUUUAGGAUACUAUCUUGAAUGUUCCAUGUCUUCGUCUAGUUAAACAUCGUGGAAUAAUCUCCCGCAAGUUUAUAACUCGACGUAGAUACUAACUAUCAAGGGACAAACGCUCUUCUAAAGUAUUUAGAGCGUUUACAUUUGUAUAAUUACAUAAUAGGUAUUUCAUACAAUAUAGUCAAUCAUUUUGUAAUGUACCUUCCUAUCUAACGACUUAAACAAAGGUCAAGUUUUAAAAUUAAACUAUUUUUAAUUGUAAUGUAAUGAUAUACCUAUAUGUAUUGAUUAUGUAAUCCAAUGUCACGAUUAUACAUAAUAAUAAACUGUUCUCUAUGUUUCAUUUA